UCUAAUAUGGCAGAUAAGUGCAAUGGAUUUAAGCUCCAUAUAUAAAGGUUUACCCUUUUGUUAGAA
This 66-nucleotide transfer RNA is filed under the name Indonemoura nohirae. RNAcentral describes it as "tRNA-Leu". It matches the Rfam family "tRNA". Rfam says of the family: Transfer RNA (tRNA) molecules are approximately 80 nucleotides in length. Their secondary structure includes four short double-helical elements and three loops (D, anti-codon, and T loops). The record is from RNAcentral. Lineage: Eukaryota; Metazoa; Arthropoda; Insecta; Plecoptera; Nemouridae.